GGGGUCGGUGGUGUAACGGGAACACAUCUGUUUUGCAAUCAGAAAUUAGGGUUCGAAUCCCUCCACUCUA
RNAcentral lists this transfer RNA (70 nucleotides) under Melampsora pinitorqua Mpini7. RNAcentral's name for it is "tRNA-Ala (TGC) (tRNA-Ala-TGC-5-1)". It matches the Rfam family "tRNA". From Rfam's summary of the family: Transfer RNA (tRNA) molecules are approximately 80 nucleotides in length. Their secondary structure includes four short double-helical elements and three loops (D, anti-codon, and T loops). The record is from RNAcentral. Lineage: Eukaryota; Fungi; Basidiomycota; Pucciniomycetes; Pucciniales; Melampsoraceae.